CCCCGAGAUAGCCCUAUUAGGUAAUAGACCAAGUCCAUAUUAUGGCAAGAACUGCUCAAAUAAGCAAAGAGAAAUGACAGUCCAUCAUUACUUUAAGACAUGAAGGUGCCAUCCCGGGCUUCAUGCUGGGUGUGUUCGAGAUCCCUCUAAAUGAUUGUGAGGAGCUCUACAGGAGCUGGGUUCUGACGCCUUCAAGCAGAACGUCAUCGUUGGCACCAUCAAGAUGGGCUGGAGCCAUUUCUUCUGCGACUCGCAGACCUUGGAGCAAAUCCUCAAAGAGAAAAUGGGCUCUCAUGGUGGAAACAUCAAGAAACUCCAAAUGCCCAAAGUUAAGCUUUGACACAUGGUAUGACUCAUUUACACUCUCUGGAGUGUGGCGCUGAUGAUCACACACACACACACACACACACACACACACACACACACACACACCCUCUCAUGGAUGGCAAGGUGGACAGUGAGGAAGGCCUUCACGAUCUCUAAAAGGUCCUAGUAGUCAUUUUUAUUUCAAUAUCAAAUCAUUUCUGGGUAACAAUUGAGUACCUAACUGUGAUUGUUUUCAAUUAUGGUCAAAAAUAAACAAAAAUAGAUUUUUAGCGAAGGGCAAUUUCUCAAGCAACAAUUUUGCUAGGACUGCCUGGGAUUGGUCUGAGCAGAGAGGCGAACACUGAAAAUGUGCUUUUCUUGGCAGAGGGAUUUGGAACUCCCUUAGUGUUUUUACACGUAGUCCCUUUCAGCAAAAUGUUUGUGAACUCAGUGCAGGAACUCAAACCCCUCAAAAGAGCCCCCGAAACUAACUGAACUGAGAGCCAUCUCGAGAGGGGGUCUGAGUUUGGGUUCCCUUUAAUAGGACAAUGUGGACAUGAAGCUCCCCAGGUUCCCUUGUCAUUAUUCCCGCCCCACACCUAGAUUACUGCAAACGUUGUUUCCCCUGGCAUAAGCCCUCACAUUGGUGCCAAAAGAGAGAGAAGAUGAUGUACAGGUUCAAGCAAAAAAACGUGUGCCGUUUUUGAAUGUUGAUUAACGAUUGUCAAGGAUGCUUAGAAAUUCCAGAAUAUGUGUGGUUUUUAGUUCAAAUGAUUUGUUUUCAAUAUGUGAUCUGUAGGCUAAGAGAGCUUCUCAAGCUGUUUAGUCGAUUGUGGGGUUUGAAUAGUGUGAAAAGUCAACAACAUAUUUGGUGAGAAUCACAACCAUAUCUAUUUUAGCUCUUAAAGGGGCAGUAGCCUACAUUGAGUAUACCAUUUUUUAAGUACAACAUUGUGUAAUCUGCAGUUAUUCUUCUGCUAUUUAGUUACCAAUCAUUUUUGCAUGUUAACAGUAUCCUCGGAUUACAAUUAUUGUCUUAUAUUUGAACUAAAUGCAAUCUAUUGCCUCCCAAAAUAUAAGUUGGUGUAUCAAGCUGUCUGAUAACACAUUUUGAUGGAAUGGCUUGUCCAGCACAAUGAAAAACUCAGAAUGCAUUGAGUGAAAAAAUAUAUUGUUUCCUUUCUAAACAUAUCAAUGUGAAUUCAAAGAGGACUCGGAUCACAGAAUAGUUAAAGUGAACUGACAAAAGAGUUGAGUCCUCAUUCAAGGGAAGGAUGCAUUGAGAAUACAAAGGUACAGUAACUGAGUUAUUUAGCUUUUUAUUUAUUUUUUUACCCCAGUGUUCACUUUAGAGAUCCUGAGAUCGGUUCUUUUAAAGAAGAUUAUAUGUGAAAACACCCUUGGUUUAACACAUUUUCCACAUGGUGAUAACACCACGGAAGGCCUAAACUCCAUCCUACCAAAACAGCCUGAAAUUUCAAGCAGUCUUUUCAAACAACUUUUACGCAUAAAGGGCAUUGUCAAUCAAAUCAAAUGAAAUUGUACUUGUCACAUGUGCCGAAUACAACAUAGACCUUACAGUGAAAUGUUUAUUCACAAGCCCUUAAGCAA
This is a long non-coding RNA of Oncorhynchus keta (chum salmon), 1917 nucleotides long. RefSeq lists it as uncharacterized. The record is from RefSeq and is a predicted model, not a curated record. The transcript is spliced from 3 exons. NCBI's taxonomy places the organism in Eukaryota, Metazoa, Chordata, Actinopteri, Salmoniformes, Salmonidae.